Ostrea edulis (European flat oyster) is the source of this 487-nucleotide long non-coding RNA. RefSeq lists it as uncharacterized. The transcript has 2 exons. NCBI's taxonomy places the organism in Eukaryota, Metazoa, Mollusca, Bivalvia, Ostreida, Ostreidae. The record is from RefSeq and is a predicted model, not a curated record.
AAAUAAACAGCCGACAGUCUACGCUGAAUUUAAAUCAAUGCUGUUAUUCUAGGAGAUGUAAUACCUUCCCUUCUAAAGAAAGACAAUAAUCUGAAUAUCUAACCUGCUGGUGGACUGCUGAGAGAUGACAUGACCUGGGUGUAUCGGUGACUCAGUCUGAGCCUGGUGGAUGCUCUGGACCAUAGCGGUCACUUCUCGCUUUAGCUGGACAACAGACGUGUCACAGACAUUACAGAGGCCCUGCUGAAACUGCUUACAUUUGUCUGGGAUUAGCAACUGCUCUCGUAUUCUCUCAACAGGAAAAUUCUGGAAAAGAAGAAAAAGGAAAAAAUAUAUUUUGAUGUACAUGAUGACGAUGUUACACUGUAAUUUACAGUCAAACCUGAAUAUCUGCAAAACAAUUAUCUCCUAAUCAGAGUUAAAUGUGAAGGCUUGAAUUAGUUCAGUAUUAAGUUAGUAGUAUUAUAAAAAAUGAUGAAAAACUUGA